CUUGGUCAAAAGAUUUGACUUAUGAUAAAAUUAAAGAAAAAUUUUAGAGUGCUUCUGGUGAAAUCGAAUGGUGGAAACAAAAGAAGUACCAUGAAAUACUUAAGGAGAAGUACCAAUUUGGUGGGACAAAGUACGAAAAAUAGUGAAAAAUUACUAUGAUGCCUUUUAAUUAUGUGUAAAUCUAUUUAAUUUUUUUAAAGAAGGAUAAGAAAGGAAAGUAGCUGCAAGUACCACUGGUAGUUUAAAAGUAUUGUAAAAAGCUCAAAAUUUAAAUAGAUCGUAAUUUGAAGCAUAAUUUUUUUCUAAGAAGAGAUGCUAAGGUGUCUGUCUCUCUAUCUGGAGGGUCUCUAUCUGGAGGGACUAAUCAGCACGCGCCCGCCAACAACUCUUCCAGGCACGAUUUCUAACCAACCCUUUCCUUCCCCCG
This 427-nucleotide long non-coding RNA is filed under the name Setaria viridis. RNAcentral describes it as "long non-coding RNA (SVIR_LNC011198)". The record is from RNAcentral. Lineage: Eukaryota; Viridiplantae; Streptophyta; Magnoliopsida; Poales; Poaceae.